GUGGUAAUGCCGGAUGCUCCAUCACACCGCAUGGUGUGUUGGGAAAGCCUUUGCGGCAUGGGAUGGGGUCGCGUCCUAUCAGCUUGAUGGCGGGGUAACGGCCCACCAUGGCUUCGACGGGUAGCCGGCCUGAGAGGGCGACCGGCCACAUUGGGACUGAGAUACGGCCCAGACUCCUACGGGAGGCAGCAGUGGGGAAUAUUGCACAAUGGGCGCAAGCCUGAUGCAGCGACGCCGCGUGAGGGAUGGAGGCCUUCGGGUUGUAAACCUCUUUUAUCAGGGAGCAAGGCUUCGGUUGAGUGUACCUGUUGAAUAAGCACCGGCUAACUACGUGCCAGCAGCCGCGGUAAUACGUAGGGUGCAAGCGUUAUCCGGAAUUAUUGGGCGUAAAGGGCUCGUAGGCGGUUCGUCGCGUCCGGUGUGAAAGUCCAUCGCUUAACGGUGGAUCCGCGCCGGGUACGGGCGGGCUUGAGUGCGGUAGGGGAGACUGGAAUUCCCGGUGUAACGGUGGAAUGUGUAGAUAUC
This 525-nucleotide ribosomal RNA is filed under the name Bifidobacterium breve. RNAcentral's name for it is "bacterial SSU rRNA". It matches the Rfam family "Bacterial small subunit ribosomal RNA", at positions 160 to 698 of the family's 1533-position model. Lineage: Bacteria; Bacillati; Actinomycetota; Actinomycetes; Bifidobacteriales; Bifidobacteriaceae. The record is from RNAcentral.